RNAcentral lists this ribosomal RNA (392 nucleotides) under uncultured bacterium. RNAcentral's name for it is "partial 16S ribosomal RNA". It matches the Rfam family "Bacterial small subunit ribosomal RNA", at positions 523 to 918 of the family's 1533-position model. The record is from RNAcentral.
AUACGUAGGUGGCAAGCGUUAUCCGGAAUUAUUGGGCGUAAAGAGGGAGCAGGCGGCAGCAAGGGUCUGUGGUGAAAGCCUGAAGCUUAACUUCAGUAAGCCAUAGAAACCAGGCAGCUAGAGUGCAGGAGAGGAUCGUGGAAUUCCAUGUGUAGCGGUGAAAUGCGUAGAUAUAUGGAGGAACACCAGUGGCGAAGGCGACGAUCGGGCCUGCAACUGACGCUCAGUCCCGAAAGCGUGGGGAGCAAAUAGGAUUAGAUACCCUAGUAGUCCACGCCGUAAACGAUGAGUACUAAGUGUUGGAUGUCAAAGUUCAGUGCUGCAGUUAACGCAAUAAGUACUCCGCCUGAGUAGUACGUUCGCAAGAAUGAAACUUAAAGGAAUUGACGGGG